CCUACGGGAGGCAGCAGUGAGGAAUAUUGGUCAAUGGGCGCGAGCCUGAACCAGCCAAGUCGCGUGAAGGAUGACUGCCCUACGGGUUGUAAACUUCUUUUGUAAAGGAAUAAAGUGCGGCACGUGUGCCUUUUUGUAUGUACUUUAUGAAUAAGGAUCGGCUAACUCCGUGCCAGCAGCCGCGGUAAUACGGAGGAUCCGAGCGUUAUCCGGAUUUAUUGGGUUUAAAGGGAGCGUAGAUGGGUGGUUGAGUCCGGUGUGAAAGUGUGGGGAUCAACCGUAAAAUUGCAAUUGAAACUGGCAGUCUUGAGUACAGUUGAGGUAGGCGGAAUUCGUUGUGUAGCGGUGAAAUGCUUAGAUAUCACGAAGAACUCCGAUUGCGAAGGCAGCUUACUAAACUGCCACUGACAUUGAUGCUCGAAAGUGUGGGUAUCAAACAGGAUUAGAUACCCGUGUAGUC
Molecule: ribosomal RNA, 460 nt
Filed under: uncultured bacterium
Lineage: Bacteria
Description: partial 16S ribosomal RNA
Rfam family: Bacterial small subunit ribosomal RNA
Source: RNAcentral